Molecule: non-coding RNA, 2210 nt
Organism: Manis javanica (Malayan pangolin)
Lineage: Eukaryota; Metazoa; Chordata; Mammalia; Pholidota; Manidae
Source: RefSeq, a predicted model, not a curated record
UACCAUAUUCCCUUUGCCCAGCAACUCACUCAACUUUUGCCUAGAAUCUCAGUAACGUCCUUUAUAGCAAAAGGACCCCGCACAGGAUCGUGCAUUGUACCCAGCUGUCAUGUCUUUCAAAUCGCCUGUAAUCUAGAGAAGUUUCUCAGUUUGCCUGUACUUUCAUGGCCUUGACUGUUUUGAAUAUUACAGACCAGUCUGAAGGCUGUCCCUCAAUUUGGAUUUGUCCAAUGAUUCUUCAUGAUUAGACCCACGUGACGCAUUUUUGAUUGGAAUAUCCCAGAAGGGACUGUUCCCCUUGCAUCAUUAAAUGGCAUCCAUGGUAAUGUUAACUUUCAUGAUUUGAUUAAGAUUGUAUCAGCCAGUUUCCUUCAUGGUGAAGUUAGUCCCCCCUCCCUAUCUAAUUACUAAAAUAUUUCUCCAGGAGAUACUUUGAAAGGGUGUUGGCAGGGCUGGUCACCUAUGCAGUACUGAGUCCUGCACUGAGAAGGGUUUGGUUCAUUUUUUUUGCUGAUUUCCAGGAAGGCAGGCAGGGAGGGAGGAAGGAAGAAGGCAGGUAGGGAAGGAGGGAGAGGGGAGCAAACAGGCAUACAUUCAGGUUUUGAUUUGUUCCAUUUGAGUUACCAGGCAUUAAGAGAAAAACAAACUAGGGCUAAAGAUAAAGGCUGGCCCAGUACAUGCACAAAGUGACUGAAAUAGGAAUAAAUCUCUCCAAGGGCAUCAGAAAGAAAACGAGGAACUCACAGGUGGGUAGAGUGUAGAAAGGGAAGCCAGUAAGGAUCGAAAGGAAUGCACCAGAGAGCAAGGGAAAUCCAUGGGUGCCCUGUUACUACAGAAACCAGAGGAAAGGGGGCUUUAUGAGGGAAAGGAGUGGUCAGCUAUGUCUGUGCCACAGAGAAGUGGAAAGAGAUGGCUGCCCAAGGCGAGAUCCCUGGCGCUAAUACCUAACUACAGGGAAGGGAGGUUUGUUCGUCUGUGUAUUCAACAAGCAUUGGUGGGUGGGGUUAAGCACAUGCUUGGGGUAGAAAGGGCGCUGCCAAAGCCGGCUUCCUGGGUGUACCACCUGCGUAGGAACACAAGGUCCUGCGUUUAGAGGUUCCCAGGCUUGGGCUCACGCUCUUAAAAUUCUUAUUGUUUGAGCAAAUGGUCUUGCAUUUUCAUUUUGCACCAGGACCCUGUAAAUGGGGUCCCGGUAGCUGGUCCUGGGCGAUGGAGCAAGUGCAAACUCUAAUUUCCUUUGUGAAUCCUAGGGAAUGUGGGAGGGCAAUAUCCUGCCCCAGUGGCAAAGUGGGGGUAAAAUUUAAUUUCGCUUGGCCACGUGUGUUGGCUGAGAGUCGUGAACGGUGGAAAGAGAUUCCAACGCCCCAUAGAUUUACAGAAGCGGCGCCGGAUGGGUUCAAGGCCUUGGGGUGUGAUGCGUCCGACGGCCUUUAAGGGGCAACAAGACUGGAGGAAAGCAGAGGCAGGACAGCAGAGGCAAAGAAGAUUUCACAGGUUUGCCAUCCCCAGCUAACUGAAGGUGCUGUGGCAUCUCACCUCCUGCACCUUUUCCCAAGACAGAAGAAAUGAGAGGGACAAUAACUUCCCUUUAUCAAGUGGUGUGCUAGCUUGUUGGCAAUGGGGCCAGUGGAUGCUCAAGUAUCAUGUAAAGCUUCUCAGGGUGAUCUGAAAGGCAAUCAGUUGUCUUGUCAGAUGGAGAAGGAUGGGCUUUGGUGACUGAACAGUUAAUAAGUAAAAAGAUUAUGAGACUGGCCAGGUCUAAAAGAAGUAUUGGAAAAUCGGAGUGCUCCCAGGAAAAGCUGCCCACUUCAGCCCAUUGUAAGGACUUUCUAUGGGAAGACUGCAGAAGUUACAGCGCAGAAGCCUACUGGAGAAGGACUCCCAGUGAGACUGGCUGCUGCUCCAGAGUAUUUUGAAUAAAGAAGCUGGGUUUCUGAGAGGUAAAAGAACCUGCUGAAGAUCAUAAAGGCAGUGCCGCAGUUAAAACCAGGCUUGCAAACCAGGCUUGUCUGACUGCAAGGCCCUUCGUGCCUUCCAGCGCCCUCCCCGCCGCCUCUGCAGGGAAAACAACAUACUUCAAAUCGAAGGAGAACUGCUAACUCAACAAAAAGAGUAAAUAACGCCCGACUUUACAACCACAAACGAGUCAAAUCAUGUAAAAAUGUCAUAAAACGGAGAAGGAAACACUAACCCAAAAGGAAAAUGGAAAG